RNAcentral lists this ribosomal RNA (646 nucleotides) under Salmonella enterica subsp. enterica serovar Muenster. RNAcentral's name for it is "partial 23S ribosomal RNA". It matches the Rfam family "Bacterial large subunit ribosomal RNA", at positions 2157 to 2802 of the family's 2925-position model. The record is from RNAcentral. Lineage: Bacteria; Pseudomonadati; Pseudomonadota; Gammaproteobacteria; Enterobacterales; Enterobacteriaceae.
UUGAAGUGUGGACGCCAGUCUGCAUGGAGCCGGCCUUGAAAUACCACCCUUUAAUGUUUGAUGUUCUAACGUGGACCCGUGAUCCGGGUUGCGGACAGUGUCUGGUGGGUAGUUUGACUGGGGCGGUCUCCUCCUAAAGAGUAACGGAGGAGCACGAAGGUUGGCUAAUCCUGGUCGGACAUCAGGAGGUUAGUGCAAUGGCAUAAGCCAGCUUGACUGCGAGCGUGACGGCGCGAGCAGGUGCGAAAGCAGGUCAUAGUGAUCCGGUGGUUCUGAAUGGAAGGGCCAUCGCUCAACGGAUAAAAGGUACUCCGGGGAUAACAGGCUGAUACCGCCCAAGAGUUCAUAUCGACGGCGGUGUUUGGCACCUCGAUGUCGGCUCAUCACAUCCUGGGGCUGAAGUAGGUCCCAAGGGUAUGGCUGUUCGCCAUUUAAAGUGGUACGCGAGCUGGGUUUAGAACGUCGUGAGACAGUUCGGUCCCUAUCUGCCGUGGGCGCUGGAGAACUGAGGGGGGCUGCUCCUAGUACGAGAGGACCGGAGUGGACGCAUCACUGGUGUUCGGGUUGUCAUGCCAAUGGCACUGCCCGGUAGCUAAAUGCGGAAGAGAUAAGUGCUGAAAGCAUCUAAGCACGAAACUUGCCCCGA